GAUGGUAUGGUCCAGUGAUACAGCAUUUGCCUAGCAUGUGUGAGGCCCUGGGUUCAAUCCCCAGUACCACCA
RNAcentral lists this transfer RNA (72 nucleotides) under Ictidomys tridecemlineatus (thirteen-lined ground squirrel). Its description in RNAcentral is "Spermophilus tridecemlineatus (thirteen-lined ground squirrel) tRNA". It matches the Rfam family "tRNA". Rfam says of the family: Transfer RNA (tRNA) molecules are approximately 80 nucleotides in length. Lineage: Eukaryota; Metazoa; Chordata; Mammalia; Rodentia; Sciuridae. The record is from Rfam by way of RNAcentral.